RNAcentral lists this ribosomal RNA (397 nucleotides) under uncultured bacterium. RNAcentral describes it as "partial 16S ribosomal RNA". It matches the Rfam family "Bacterial small subunit ribosomal RNA", at positions 523 to 918 of the family's 1533-position model. The record is from RNAcentral.
AUACGUAGGGGGCGAGCGUUGUCCGGAAUGAUUGGGCGUAAAGGGCGCGUAGGCGGCCCGGUAAGUCUGGAGUGAAAGUCCUGUUUUUAAGAUGGGAAUUGCUUUGGAUACUGUCGGGCUUGAGUGCAGGAGAGGUAAGUGGAAUUCCCAGUGUAGCGGUGAAAUGCGUAGAGAUUGGGAGGAACACCAGUGGCGAAGGCGACUUACUGGACUGUAACUGACGCUGAGGCGCGAAAGUGUGGGGAGCAAACAGGAUUAGAUACCCUGGUAGUCCACACUGUAAACGAUGAAUGCUAGGUGUAGGGGGUAUCGACCCCUUCUGUGCCGCAGUCAACACAAUAAGCAUUCCGCCUGGGGAGUACGAUCGCAAGAUUGAAACUCAAAUGAAUUGGCGGGG